GCGAAGAAGUAUUUCGGUAUGUAAAGCUCUAUCAGCAGGGAAGAUAAUGACGGUACCUGACUAAGAAGCCCCGGCUAACUACGUGCCAGCAGCCGCGGUAAUACGUAGGGGGCAAGCGUUAUCCGGAUUUACUGGGUGUAAAGGGAGCGUAGACGGCAUGGCAAGUCUGAAGUGAAAGCUCGGGGCUCAACCCCGGAACUGCUUUGGAAACUGUUAAGCUGGAGUGCAGGAGAGGUAAGCGGAAUUCCUAGUGUAGCGGUGAAAUGCGUAGAUAUUAGGAGGAACACCAGUGGCGAAGGCGGCUUACUGGACUGUAACUGACGUUGAGGCUCGAAAGCGUGGGGAGCAAACAGGAUUAGAUACCCUGGUAGCCCACGCCGUAAACGAUGAAUACUAGGUGUUGG
This 404-nucleotide ribosomal RNA is filed under the name uncultured Lachnospiraceae bacterium. RNAcentral's name for it is "bacterial SSU rRNA". It matches the Rfam family "Bacterial small subunit ribosomal RNA", at positions 405 to 826 of the family's 1533-position model. Lineage: Bacteria; Bacillati; Bacillota; Clostridia; Lachnospirales; Lachnospiraceae. The record is from RNAcentral.